UGUUUUUUAGUGUUUUAAAAGAUGUAGCCUGCCCACUGAGAUAUUAAAGGGCUGCAGGAUUUAACUGUGCGAAGGUAGCAUAAUAAUUAGUUUCUUAAUUAGGGAAUGGGAUGAAUGGUUGAAUAGUGUCUAGUUUUUAGUUAAAAAUUAAGUUGAAAUUGAAUUUUAAGUGAAAAUGCUUAAUUAUUCCUAAAAGACGAUAAGACCCUAUAGAUCUUUAUUUUUAUUUAAUCAUAUUUACAGGUAGGUUUUUGUAAAAAUUAAAGUUUUACUGGGGUGGUAGAAGAAAUUAAUUAACUUCUUAGGUUUUAUAAACUUAUUUUAAGAAUAAAAAGAUACCUUAGGGAUAACAGCGUUAUUAAAUUUAAGAGAUCUUAUCGAUAAUUUAGUUUGCGACCUCGAUGUUGAAUUAAGAAGUUAGUUUUUAGCAGUAUAAAAAUUAAAUGGUCUGUUCGACCAGUUUUAUCUUACA
This 472-nucleotide ribosomal RNA is filed under the name Megalothorax sp. EA040010-cs24. RNAcentral describes it as "partial 16S ribosomal RNA". It matches the Rfam family "Bacterial large subunit ribosomal RNA", at positions 1829 to 2600 of the family's 2925-position model. Lineage: Eukaryota; Metazoa; Arthropoda; Collembola; Neelipleona; Neelidae. RNAcentral also lists the same sequence under 1 other name. The record is from RNAcentral.